This 1394-nucleotide ribosomal RNA is filed under the name metagenome. Its description in RNAcentral is "bacterial LSU rRNA". It matches the Rfam family "Bacterial large subunit ribosomal RNA", at positions 1536 to 2925 of the family's 2925-position model. The record is from RNAcentral.
AAAAAUCCGCCUGUCAUAUACCGAGGCUGUCGAUCGAGCGAGCUUGCUCGCGAAGUGACUGAACGGGGUUCCAGGAAAAGCCACUAAGCUUCAGCUGCACACGACCGUACCGCAAACCGACACUGGUGCGCGAGAUGAGUAUUCUAAGGCGCUUGAGAGAACUCUGGAGAAGGAACUCGGCAAAUUGACACCGUAACUUCGGGAGAAGGUGUGCCCCGGUAAUGUGAUGAGAACAUCUGAGCAUGAAAGGGUUGCAAUGAAUAGGUGGCUGCGACUGUUUAUCAAAAACACAGCACUCUGCAAACACGAAAGUGGACGUGUAGGGUGUGACGCCUGCCCGGUGCUGGAAGAUUAAGUGAUGGGGUGCAAGCUCUUGAUCGAAGUCCCAGUAAACGGCGGCCGUAACUAUAACGGUCCUAAGGUAGCGAAAUUCCUUGUCGGGUAAGUUCCGACCUGCACGAAUGGCGUAACGAUGGCCACACUGUCUCCUCCAGAGACUCAGCGAAGUUGAAAUGUUUGUGAUGAUGCAAUCUCCCCGCGGAAAGACGGAAAGACCCCAUGAACCUUUACUGUAGCUUUGUAUGGGACUUUGAAAAGAUCUGUGUAGGAUAGGUGGGAGGCUUUGAAGUGCGGCCGCUAGGUCGCAUGGAGCCAACGUUGAAAUACCACCCUGGUGUGUUUGAGGUUCUAACCUAGGCCCAUUAUCUGGGUCGGGGACAGUGCAUGGUAGGCAGUUUGACUGGGGCGGUCUCCUCCUAAAGUGUAACGGAGGAGUUCGAAGGUACGCUAGCUACGGUCGGACAUCGAGGCGAUAGUGCAAUGGCAUAAGCGUGCUUAACUGCGAGACUGACAGUCGAGCAGAUGCGAAAGCAGGACAUAGUGAUCCGGUGGUUCUGUAUGGAAGGGCCAUCGCUCAACGGAUAAAAGGUACUCUGGGGAUAACAGGCUGAUACCGCCCAAGAGUUCAUAUCGACGGCGGUGUUUGGCACCUCGAUGUCGGCUCAUCUCAUCCUGGGGCUGUAGCCGGUCCCAAGGGUAUGGCUGUUCGCCAUUUAAAGAGGUACGUGAGCUGGGUUCAAAACGUCGUGAGACAGUUUGGUCCCUAUCUUCCGUGGGCGCUGCAGAUUUGAGGAAGCCUGCUCCUAGUACGAGAGGACCGGAGUGGACGCACCGCUGGUGUACCUGUUGUCACGCCCGUGGCAUUGCAGGGUAGCUAAGUGCGGAAGAGAUAACCGCUGAAAGCAUCUAAGCGGGAAACUCGUUUCAAGAUGAGAUCUGCCGGGGCCUUGAGCCCCCUAAAGAGUCGUUCUAGACCAGGACGUUGAUAGGCUGGGUGUGGAAGUGCAGUAAUGCAUUAAGCUAACCAGUACUAAUUGCUCGUGCGGCUUGACCCU